Molecule: non-coding RNA, 145 nt
Organism: Gossypium hirsutum (cotton)
Lineage: Eukaryota; Viridiplantae; Streptophyta; Magnoliopsida; Malvales; Malvaceae
Source: Rfam
UAUUAAAAAUUUCAUUUAUUUAUACUAUUAAAAAUUAACUUAGCUGACAAAAUAAUUAGACUGUUACAUGUGGUAUGUCACGUGUACCUUAUGUUGACAUGCAGAGACCGAUUUUAAACAGUAAAAAUAGAUGAAAUUUUUAACA